RNAcentral lists this transfer RNA (72 nucleotides) under Ornithorhynchus anatinus (platypus). It matches the Rfam family "tRNA". From Rfam's summary of the family: Transfer RNA (tRNA) molecules are approximately 80 nucleotides in length. Their secondary structure includes four short double-helical elements and three loops (D, anti-codon, and T loops). The record is from Rfam by way of RNAcentral. Lineage: Eukaryota; Metazoa; Chordata; Mammalia; Monotremata; Ornithorhynchidae.
GGGAGCGUGGCUUAGUGGAAAGAGCAUGGGCUUGGAAGUCAGAGGAUGUGGGUUCUAAUCCCACCCCCGCUA